AGGACGAACGCUGGCGGCGUGCUUAACACAUGCAAGUCAAGGGGGCCCAGCAAUGGGCAACCGGCGAACGGGUGCGUAACACGUGAGCAACCUACCGAAAUGUGGGGGAUAGCCGGCCUAACGGCCGAGUAAUACCGCAUACGCUCUCGAUGAGGCAUUUCAUUGAGAGGAAACCUACGGGACAUUUCGAGGGGCUCGCGGCCUAUCAGCUAGUUGGCGAGGUAACGCUCACCAAGGCAACGACGGGUAGCUGGUCU
RNAcentral lists this ribosomal RNA (257 nucleotides) under uncultured soil bacterium. RNAcentral describes it as "partial 16S ribosomal RNA". It matches the Rfam family "Bacterial small subunit ribosomal RNA", at positions 26 to 293 of the family's 1533-position model. The record is from RNAcentral.